Molecule: microRNA precursor, 62 nt
Filed under: Monodelphis domestica (gray short-tailed opossum)
Lineage: Eukaryota; Metazoa; Chordata; Mammalia; Didelphimorphia; Didelphidae
Description: microRNA mdo-mir-7302 precursor
Source: miRBase by way of RNAcentral
CCCUUAGCUUCUGGAAGAUAAAUUUUGCCUGUGGAUAUCUUUAUCUUUCAGAAGGUUUGGGA